GUAGCCUGCUGCCUGGAUCCUGCCUGCCACUGGUGAGCUAAAGCAUAGGCCAUUGCUCUUUCACGCUUAGCAGCUGCCUCUUGUCUCUUUAGCAACUUUUCUUGAAUUUGCUCAACAGAUCCAACACUGUCACACCAGCCCUCUUCGAUCUCUCGUACACGAGCGUCAUGUUCUAAUUGUUGUUCAAGCUUCUGCUGUUCAGUUUGACUUUCCAGUGACAUGCGAACACGUCUUGCUCGG
RNAcentral lists this unclassified non-coding RNA (240 nucleotides) under Hevea brasiliensis (rubber tree). Lineage: Eukaryota; Viridiplantae; Streptophyta; Magnoliopsida; Malpighiales; Euphorbiaceae. The record is from RNAcentral.